This 424-nucleotide ribosomal RNA is filed under the name Aquarius distanti. RNAcentral's name for it is "partial 16S ribosomal RNA". The record is from RNAcentral. Lineage: Eukaryota; Metazoa; Arthropoda; Insecta; Hemiptera; Gerridae.
GAUAAGAGCUCUCCGAAAAAAUUACGCUGUUAUCCCUAAGGUAAGUUAAUCUUAUAAUCAAAAAUUUUGGAUCAAAAAAAACAUAAAUUAAUGAAAAAAAUAAUAAAAGUUAUAUAAAUUUUAAUGUCACCCCAACAAAACUUUACAUUCUAAAAAAUUAUUUAAUAAACAAAAAAUAAUAAUUAAUAAAUAAAGUAAACUUCUAUAGGGUCUUCUCGUCCUAUAAAAAAAUUUUAGCCUUUUAACUAAAAAAUUAAAUUCAAAACAAUUAAAAAAAGAAAGAUUAUUUUUCAUCAAACCAUUCAUACUAGCCUUCAAUUAAAAGACAAAUGAUUAUGCUACCUUCGUACAGUUAAAAUACCGCAGCCUUUUAAUUAAAAAAAAUCAAUGGGCAGGCCUGAUCUUAAAUUAAAAUCAAAAGACC